CGCAUCUGUGCAUGCAGCAUAUCAAUAAGCGGAGGAAAAGAAACUAACAAGGAUUCCCUUAGUAACGGCGAGUGAAGCGGGAAGAGCUCAAAUUUGAAAUCUUCAAGGUUUUACCUUGACGAAUUGUAGUUUAAAGAAGUGUUUUCUGCUGAAGUUUUGGUAAAAGUUCUUUGGAAUAGGACAUCAUAGAGGGUGAGAAUCCCGUAUUUGACCAUUAUUUUCAGCUUUGUGAUACACUUUCAAAGAGUCGGAUUGUUUGGGAAUGCAGUCCAAAAUGGGUGGUAAAUUUCAUCUAAAGCUAAAUAUUGGCGAGAGACCGAUAGCGAACAAGUACCGUGAGGGAAAGAUGAAAAGAACUUUGAAAAGAGAGUUAAACAGUACGUGAAAUUGUCAAAAGGGAAGCGUUUGACACCAGUGUUGUUUUUCCGAAAAUCAAUUACGAAUGGCUUGAUUUUGUGUUGUAUUGACCUUAUCAGCUUUCUUCACUUUUUUCGAGUCUUUCUUAAUGCACUUUUCGGUUAACAAGUCAACAUCAAUUUCUUUUGUUGUAAAAGGGUCAUUGGAAGGUGGCUUUCUUUUCGGAGAAAGUGUUUAUAGCCUUUGACUCCUGCAAUCGGAGAGACUGAGGUCUGCAGCGUAGAUCCUUCGGGGUUAGAUACAUUUGUGCUAAGUUAUAGCUUUUUAUAGACAACUUGUUGACUAUGAUUAGUCUUGUAGCUUACUCGCUUAUGCUAUUUUACCUACGCUUAGGAUGUUGAAGAUAUGCGCGACACG
RNAcentral lists this ribosomal RNA (774 nucleotides) under uncultured Neocallimastigales. RNAcentral's name for it is "partial large subunit ribosomal RNA". It matches the Rfam family "Eukaryotic large subunit ribosomal RNA", at positions 26 to 644 of the family's 3401-position model. The record is from RNAcentral. Lineage: Eukaryota; Fungi; Neocallimastigomycota; Neocallimastigomycetes; Neocallimastigales.